Molecule: long non-coding RNA, 290 nt
Filed under: Elaeis guineensis (African oil palm)
Lineage: Eukaryota; Viridiplantae; Streptophyta; Magnoliopsida; Arecales; Arecaceae
Description: long non-coding RNA (EGUI_LNC075455)
Source: RNAcentral
CAUCUGGAGACUGUAAGCUGACCUCAUCAGGAGGUCAAGCUCUUCAAAAAGCCGACUUCAUUAGAAGGGCUCAUAAGAAGGCUGAGCUCAUUAAAAGAUUGACCUCGUCAGAAGGCCAACAUCAUCAGAUGAUCAAGAUCAUCAAUAAAAAUUUGAUUUUCAGAUCAGUAAGUCCCGAAGGGCCAAUAUGGAGAUAAGAUCUUUGGAUCAACAAAAGUCUGAUCUUUGGAUUGAUAGAACCCCGAAGGGCAUGGAGAUAAGAUCUUCAGACUAACAAAAAUCCAAUCUCU